AGUGAACGCUGGCGGUAGGCCUAACACAUGCAAGUCGAACGGCAGCACAGUAAGAGCUUGCUCUUACGGGUGGCGAGUGGCGGACGGGUGAGGAAUACAUCGGAAUCUACUUUUUCGUGGGGGAUAACGUAGGGAAACUUACGCUAAUACCGCAUACGACCUACGGGUGAAAGCAGGGGAUCUUCGGACCUUGCGCGAUUGAAUGAGCCGAUGUCGGAUUAGCUAGUUGGCGGGGUAAAGGCCCACCAAGGCGACGAUCCGUAGCUGGUCUGAGAGGAUGAUCAGCCACACUGGAACUGAGACACGGUCCAGACUCCGACGGGAGGCAGCAGUGGGGAAUAUUGGACAAUGGGCGCAAGCCUGAUCCAGCCAUACCGCGUGGGUGAAGAAGGCCUUCGGGUUGUAAAGCCCUUUUGUUGGGAAAGAAAAGCAGCAGGUUAAUACCCCGCUGUUCUGACGGUACCCAAAGAAUAAGCACCGGCUAACCUCGUG
Molecule: ribosomal RNA, 492 nt
Filed under: uncultured bacterium
Lineage: Bacteria
Description: partial 16S ribosomal RNA
Rfam family: Bacterial small subunit ribosomal RNA
Source: RNAcentral